UAACCUUUACUUUCAAGCUUUAUUUUUAAUGCAAUUUAUUUUUAUUAUCAUUUGUCAUUGUACAUAUCAUUCUAAUUAUUUAUGUUUAUGCAAUUUUCACUUUGUCCACUUGGACCAUAUUGUGUGAUAUACUUUGUUGCCUUGUUUGUUUGUUUGGUCUUUGACCAUUAAUGCACAUAAUAAUGACAAGAACCCUAAACGACAAUUUGAGUGGACUGUUGCUUUGAU
This 228-nucleotide long non-coding RNA is filed under the name Lathyrus oleraceus (garden pea). RNAcentral describes it as "Pisum sativum (pea) long non-coding RNA (PSAT_LNC041173)". The record is from RNAcentral. Lineage: Eukaryota; Viridiplantae; Streptophyta; Magnoliopsida; Fabales; Fabaceae.